This 460-nucleotide ribosomal RNA is filed under the name uncultured bacterium. RNAcentral's name for it is "partial 16S ribosomal RNA". It matches the Rfam family "Bacterial small subunit ribosomal RNA", at positions 338 to 795 of the family's 1533-position model. The record is from RNAcentral.
CCUACGGGAGGCAGCAGUGAGGAAUAUUGGUCAAUGGGCGCGAGCCUGAACCAGCCAAGCAGCGUGAAGGAUGACUGCCCUACGGGUUGUAAACUUCUUUUAUAAAGGAGUAAAGUGGGGAACGUGUGUUUUUUUGUAUGUACUUUAUGAAUAAGGAUCGGCUAACUCCGUGCCAGCAGCCGCGGUAAUACGGAGGAUCCGAGCGUUAUCCGGAUUUAUUGGGUUUAAGGGGAGCGUAGAUGGGUUGUUAAGUCAGAUGUGAAAGGUUGCGGCUCAACCGUAAAAGUGCAAUUGAUACUGGCAGUCUUGAGUGCAGUUGAGGUAGGCGGAAUUCGUGGUGUAGCGGUGAAAUGCUUAGAUAUCACGAAGAACACCGAUUGCGAAGGCAGCUUACUAAUCUGCAACUGACGUUGAUGCUCGAAAGUGUGGGUAGCAAACAGGAUUAGAUACCCGAGUAGUC